RNAcentral lists this small nucleolar RNA (190 nucleotides) under Musa acuminata subsp. malaccensis (wild Malaysian banana). Its description in RNAcentral is "Plant small nucleolar RNA U3". It matches the Rfam family "Plant small nucleolar RNA U3". From Rfam's summary of the family: Small nucleolar RNAs (snoRNAs) are involved in the processing and modification of rRNA in the nucleolus. There are two main classes of snoRNAs: the box C/D class, and the box H/ACA class. The record is from Rfam by way of RNAcentral. Lineage: Eukaryota; Viridiplantae; Streptophyta; Magnoliopsida; Zingiberales; Musaceae.
AUGACCUUACUUGAACAGGUUCUGUUCUUUAGGCUCGUACAUCUUGUCCUUGAGUGCCAAGGAGAUAGGCAACUCAGUCACAAGGCUUCAAGAUCAGAGCAUAAUUAAUGGCUUUGAUCUUCCAAGAUAGAGACUGUAAGGGACAUUCUCAACUGGUCGUUGGGGUGAUCCUGAGGUUGUCUGAUAGACC